Schizosaccharomyces pombe (fission yeast) is the source of this 4441-nucleotide non-coding RNA. NCBI's taxonomy places the organism in Eukaryota, Fungi, Ascomycota, Schizosaccharomycetes, Schizosaccharomycetales, Schizosaccharomycetaceae. The record is from the annotation of a GenBank genome assembly.
GCUACCCCAAAGACGUUUCCUAAAGUAAGGAAUCGAGCAAUUAUUAAACGACCAACUUUCUAAUCCUGAGCUGAUAACACCAGGAACCAUAAUAACAGGAUGGUCACUUCGAUAUCCCUCAUUGUACAUAUCAAGACCAACUUGAACUUCAUUUCCGCUAGGAGACUGCGAAGGCUUGUCCGUAGUAAAAGGUGCAUCCUUAAACACAUUAUAAGAUAAAUAUCCUUUAAUGUCAUCAAACAAGUCUGAAGAGCCUAGCAUAUUCCCAAAUUUAUCUAACGUAGCAGGGUCGAAAACAGCAUUGUCGUCUCCAACAGCGAAAAAAAAAGCACCGCAUAUUCCCAAAAUAGCGCCCAAUAUAAAAUUCAAUCUUUUUCCAAAUUUAGAUUUUCUUGAUUUAUUUGAAACAGAUUGUGUUUCGGACGCUGAAGGUUGCUCACUCAAAGCGCGAGUUGGUUUCUUUGAAUUUGGUAAGUCGAUAGGAGAUUUGACUUCUUUCUUUUUCUUAUGAGUUUUGCUCUUCUUGGAAGACGCCAUAGUUAACUUUAAAAUAUGAAUUGCUUGAGCAGCAACUGCCAAACAUUCGAUAAGUAAGCGAAGUCCUUACUGUCAUAGUUCUACAGCAGGAGUGAUAACGAAGUGAGCGUUAAGUUGCUUUAGAAACACGUUUAAUAUCGGUUUCCUUCUACAAUUGUAUUUUGAUUUAGUGUCUAAAAGUUUGAAAUACCUUAUUUCUAGUUAAACUGAGUUACGUUACAAUGCACUUAUACUCAGUAUAUGCCGAUUAUAUUUAUUAUCAAAACUUCUAGCCUGAGAGGAUGAUGACAGUUCCAAAAAAUGAUCUCUGUUCAAGUAUGUAAUUUACCAAUAUUUGAUACAGCCUAAAAUUGAGAAGAGUUCCUCAGUUUUACUUAGCAGUUAAUGAAGGUGAAUAGUUUUCUAGGGUAAAGUUAAAUCUUCUUCAUAAGCACAAAAAAUAAUUAAUGACCCAGCUAGAAUGUGCAAAUUACUUAGCUAAUAACUAAAUUACCUUAACUUGCGCUUGAAUUGUUUAAUUGUUGCAAAUAAUGGGUGUUGUAGAUCAAUGAAGUUAUAGUUAUUAACAUUCAAUUCGUUAUAAAAAAGGUAUACCGUCAUUCUUCUUUUUAAUUAGGCAAUACUAAUAUACAAAGGAUUUUGAAUAUGUAAGAUAAAGCAUUAGAAUUGACUUUAUUCAUGAUAUCCAUCGUCAAUGAGCUUUUGAAUAUUAUCGGCUUUAUGAGGAAGCAAAGAAAGUGCAUACACCACAUGAUCCCAUUGACGUUGAGUUUUACACCGAUCAAGACGAGCAGCCAGACGUUCGGCUAAUUGCUUGGUAUGUCUUUCUUUUUCAAUAAAGGACGUCAAGAAACGAAUGAUACGCUUAAACUUAGCGUCGUCCUCAUCCUGCUCCUCUGCACUUCUAGAUAAUACACUGAAGAUAUCAAUAAAGUUAUUAUAUACAGAAUUAUCCUUGGCUGCAAAAUCAGUAAAAAACAUUCGAGCAAGAUCAGAAAUUCGAGCAUCUUCGUCUUCCAAAGAACGAGCCAUAAUACCCAGCUGGCCCUUUACUUUUAUUUGACCAGCUAAAAUCAAAAAUGCUAGAGUCAUAAAGCAUGUCUUUUUGACAGAAGACUCUUCAUCCAUCAGUCUUCUAUAUAAGUAUUCGGAUAUUUCAUCAAUAAAAUGAUUGAAACAAACAGUUAAAUCUGCUAACCCGAUUACUAAGUUGUUUCGAAUAAUCGGAUUAUCACAUUUCUCCAGAAUGGUUAUUAACAAUGGAAGAUGUUCCAUACAAAAAUUGUUAGAAAGACACAUAAAUUUGGACAAAGUCAGAGAAGCAGCUAGUAAAAGGCUUUGAUUAUUGUGCGAUUUAUGAUUUGAGCACAAUUCUACUACCAAUGGAGCAAAUCUCGAAAGUAAAGAAUUCUCACCAUAGAGCAACUCCCUUUCACGAAUAAAUGUCAUUGCUUCUGAAAAAUCAUCUUCACUUGUUCCCGUAAUUAAAUCAUAUUCAGAAGUUUCUUGCCCAUUUAUAGGAUUAUUUGAGUUCUGUACGGCCAAUCUCUCGGCGUCCGCUUUUCGCCGUUUGAACUCUGCCUCACAAUAUUCGAUAUAGACUAAUUGUUUAAUCGCGACAUGGCCUACUAAAAAUAUUAAGUGCGCCAGUCGUAUACCUAUUUCUUCCUCAUCUUUUAAUGUUUCUUCUUCUGGAGAAUCAUCUAAAUCUUCGUCCAUUGCAUGAUCAUCGUUACUGGUAGUAUUCUCAUGAUUGGAAGGUUUGAAGAGUUGUUUCGUCAAAAGCAAAAUAAUGUUGGUACAAAGUUCGUCAGGAUGUUUGGCAACUGCAUAUAUAGCCUCAAUAGCUUGCUCUUCUAACCCAAACCACUCUUCAGAGAACGAUGGUCGAAGUAAAAGCAUACAUAAUUUUUGACAAAGCGUAUGCGAAUUUGGAAAAUUAAUAUUAGAAGAACCAGACGCAUCUUUGCCAAUACGUUUAAUCGCUAUACAUGUGUACCUUGCAAGAACUAAAUCCUCCAAACCAGGGGGACCAAGUCCUAUUUGAAUAAGAUGAUCCAAGCCCUGCAUGACAACAUCGGUAUUGCCUAAUGCUAGCAUUCCAAUUACUAUGAUGGAUCCUCUACGUUGUGUUCGAGAUAUAUCCUUCUUUUGAUAACUGUAUACUUGCCAUAGUUUUGUUAUGACUAGAUGUGAAAAAUACCCAUCUUUCAUCAAAAUGCAAAGCAUCUGUUCAAGUGAUGUAAGCUCAGCAAGGCUAGCAUCAUAUGUUAAUGAAAUAAGAUUUCUCGCAAUAUAGUUUGCGGCUUCGUUGGUACCAGAGUUCGGAGGUGGCUCAAAAAAUAAUGUUUUAUAACAUGACAAUACAUGGUUCUGAAUGUUGUUCCCUUCGUCGGAGGUUCCUUUUACCCAAAUUAAAUGAAUCAUUUUUUUUAUAUAUAAUUUUGAAGACGAAAUUCCAAAAGAAUUGCAAAAAACAAAGAAAUCCAUUGACUCAAUUACCUCGCUCUUAUUUUUAGCAAACAACAACUGGCUUAUUAUUUUUGCUCCCGCUUCCACAAUGUCUAUAUAUUGGAGUGCUUCUAAAUAAAACCGUUUCGUUAAAUUCACUUUGACUAUUUCCUCAGCAGGAACAGAAUCGACAUAUUCGCUUAGAGAAUUUUCCAAGUGACUUUCUCCUUCAUGUGACUCAUCAUCUUGGAUCAUAGUAGCAUCCUCUAAUAAGUUUUCAUCGACUUCAAGCUCUGAAUCUACCACCUUUUCUUGUUGCUUUGGUUGUAAAGAAUUAAGCUGUUCCUCGAUGAUAGAUAAUCCUUUCUCCCAAAUAUUUCUGGUUAGUAAGCCAUUGUGCAUAACUGAAAAAGGAUGGGUAGUUAAAAGUUUAGAAAAUAACUUAAUUGCAUUUCGGCGGACAUGACUUGACCGAUCUUGCAAACAUCUGAUCACGAGUUCCGCGAUUUCUUGACGUUUUCUGGGAUACUUAAUUGGUAAAUCAAAUAUUUUGAUAAAGACGUGAAGUACUUUAGUACGACAGUAAGGGCUUAUAUCUAGUAAUCGCUCACUGAGAAGAUCCAUUAAGCUUUGAACAGUUGCUGGCACUGACUCUGACAUUUCAUUUUGAGCCUCAUCAUGAAUUUGAUCAAUGACCACAUUAGCAAGUACUUCUAUGAUAGCGCAUCUCAGAGUAUAUGAUUCCGAAUCAAGCAGCUUAACUAAUUGAGUAAGCUGUUUCAAACAUAAGUUUGGAAUAAGUGAAGAAAGACGGACAAGAAACAAAGCGACUUGCUUGGGACCUUUAACAUCGUUAUCAUUAAAUUCUAGAGAGCACAAUGUUCGAAUAAUUCCUUCAGCCAAGGUAACGGAAUUAAACUGAACGGUAACAAUAUGAACAAGAUCAGCAGCAUACUCAGAUAAAUGCUCAAAGUAUUGUAAAUUUUGAAUAAUAUUUGUCUCCGCUGCAGUGGUAUGGUUAUGGAAUUGAACAGCAAGCCCGAUAAUAUUAAAUAAACGAGAACGGAAAGAAGCAUUUUUUAUGUUAAUUUCACUUUCCAUUAACGUGUAUAUUGGUUUUAGGAAAAGUGAAAGAAACAUGUCUCUUUCCGAAGAAGUAGUCCAUACACGAGAUAAUUUUUUUUGAAAUAAUGUUAUGAUUGCAUCUAACAAAGCAUUUACAUGUGAGAUACCAUUCCAGUUAGAGUUAGUAGUUGGAUUUUUUUUUCUUCCCUUAACAGUAUUAGUGGAUGACCGAAUAACUGAAAGUUGAUUUGAGGAAGAAAGGGAAUUGACCGUGAGCUGAAAUGCAAUGCCUGUAGUUUCUAAAUUCGUUUGAGGUACAGUAAAAUCAGUAGCAUUUGCGGAAAUCAUAUCUUCAAGAAUAGCGGAUUCAGAGCUGAUAUUACUCGUG